AGACCCACUUGUCCUUUUUUUUUUAAAAUGAAGUCUGUCCUCUUAACUUGUCCCUUCAAGAUAUAACCAAAUCGUUCACUGUGAUUUAACUGAAGAAAUAUAAACUCUCUCUCAUUCUUCCACUGUGAUUUGGACUUCAAUAACCAAAUCAUUCUUUCCAAUCGGAAAUUCUCUGUCUUCGUUUAAUGAAGAUCUUUUAUGUAUUUGCUUAUUUUGUGCUUUGUAAAGGAAUGCUUGCUAGGCUCCCUUCUUAAUUUUGUGGAGAAGAUAAUUUAGUCUUUAUUUGCUGAAAUAAUUGAUAGUUCACUGUUUUGUCCCUUGUAGGGCCCUAUUCAGUCUCUCUUCAACUGUCCCUGUAAUGGUUUCAUGAAGUGGAGUUCCAGGUUCUGUUGUAGAGAACCCUUCAGCAGCAGGGGAUGCUCCUAUGGCGUCAGAAAUUCUGAUUUCUGGUCUUUGCAAAGGAAGGUCAGGUAAUAUUUCAGGGGAAGCUUCACUUGCUGUGAACAGCGUAGCCGUUUGGCCUUCACUGCCUUCAGAUGGCUUUUCUGAUUUAGAAUUAGAGUUGUCUUUCUCUUCAUCAAAGACUUUUGCUAGUGCAGAGAGCUUUUGCCCUAUAGAAUCAUCAGUGGCUAAGAUUUCUCUAUUCUGAUAAAGGAAACUGAGGAAGAAUACGAGAAGAGCGGAGCCUGCUGAUACACCAGCUAUGAGGAAAAGGCCUUUAAAACUAUCUAGCGUGAGACUAUCAGAUGUUAUAGCCAUUUCAUUUUGCUCUGGACAAUCUGUUUCAUUCCCAAACCAUUUCUGAAUUAUUUCAGUCAUAAACUCUCCCUCCACCACCUUCAAGACUGCUCUUGAGACGUCAGGUACCAAAGGAGAUCCUUUUGGAAAUGCCUGUAAGAAGUUGCGGGAAAAUAAAAGAUUAGAUCAUUGAGUAAACCACAGACCAUUCUAAAUAAAUGUACUUUCUGAAACAUCACUGGAGUGCGACAAUCUUACGAAUCCAAAGCCGGCGGCCUUGUAUGUCGGACCGACCAUAAUAUACUUCCUGCAGUACUUGUUGAGGAAGAGUCUGAUGUAAGGCAGUUCAUCAACAAUUGCACUAACACCUCCAUUUUUACUUCCUCUUGAGAGGGCAUCAUUAUACUCUUCCAAUGUGCUAUAACUUCUGAACUUGGAGCUGUCAAAUUUCAUGCGCUUCAAGACGUCUUUGACAAAGGAACCUUUUUGGUACCCAACAUAUUCUCCAUUCCUGAUGAGAUCAUUGAUGUCUGUUAUAGUAGGUUGGAGCUGUUACACUGUUAACAUAGAUGUUAAGUUGGCUGAAUAACUUGAUGUCAGCACCAGAACCACGAAAACCCACACAAUCAGCACAAAUCUUGUCAAGUUACUUGUUACCCUCUCUUCUGCAACAACCAACCAUAUAUAUGAUAUUGUUGAGAAACAAGGAGAAAUCCUAAAGCUUUCGUAUAUAAUUUGCAUUGAGCCAAAGACUUACUAUGAGCAAAAACGAGAGUUGAGAAGGAAAACCAGAAUAUCACCCCAACUUGCUUGUGUUUGGGUCCUCGAAACUCUUUGUUAACACGAUGUUCGAGUACCCAAACCACAAAACCAGUGAAGACGAAGAAUGCUCCGGUUGUUAUCCAAAGCUCACUCUUUAGAGGUUUCAAGAAAAUCCAAGCAUUCUUCCUAUCAUCAUCCCUUACUGGCACAACUGCAGAAAUACCCGACUUUGAAAAAGGUAAUGAGAAAUCCACAUGCUCGGAUCGGCUAGCUAAAAUGGUCACAUUACCUACAACUGCAUCAUAUUCCUG
Molecule: long non-coding RNA, 1811 nt
Organism: Lycium barbarum (goji berry)
Lineage: Eukaryota; Viridiplantae; Streptophyta; Magnoliopsida; Solanales; Solanaceae
Exons: 2
Source: RefSeq, a predicted model, not a curated record